This 495-nucleotide ribosomal RNA is filed under the name uncultured Sphingobacteriales bacterium. Its description in RNAcentral is "bacterial SSU rRNA". It matches the Rfam family "Bacterial small subunit ribosomal RNA", at positions 884 to 1382 of the family's 1533-position model. Lineage: Bacteria; Pseudomonadati; Bacteroidota; Sphingobacteriia; Sphingobacteriales. The record is from RNAcentral.
CCAGCCCGCUCAGAAACUCAAAUGAAUUGACGGGGCCCGCACAAGCGAGGAGCAUGUGGUUAAUUCGAUGAUACGCGAGGAACCUUACCUGGGCUCGAACGUAAGAUGACUGUAGGUGAAAGCUUACAUCUCUUCGGAGCAUUUUACGAGGUGCUGCAUGGUUGUCGUCAGCUCGUGCCGUGAGGUGUCGGGUUAAGUCCCAUAACGAGCGCAACCCCUACCUUUAGUUGCCAUCAGGUAAUGCUGGGGACUCUAAAGGAACUGCCUACGCAAGUAGUGAGGAAGGCGGGGAUGACGUCAAAUCAGCACGGCCCUUACGUCCAGGGCUACACACGUGCUACAAUGGCCGAUACAGAGGGCAGCUACCUGGUGACAGGAUGCAAAUCUCCAAAGUCGGUCUCAGUUCGGAUCGGAGUCUGCAACCCGACUCCGUGAAGUUGGAUUCGCUAGUAAUCGCGCAUCAGCCAUGGCGCGGUGAAUACGUUCCCGGGCCUU